This 1548-nucleotide ribosomal RNA is filed under the name metagenome. RNAcentral's name for it is "bacterial SSU rRNA". It matches the Rfam family "Eukaryotic small subunit ribosomal RNA", at positions 324 to 1801 of the family's 1831-position model. The record is from RNAcentral.
GAUGGCAGGGUAAGGGCCUGCCGUGGCGAUCAUGGAUACGGGGAAUCAGUGUUCGAUUCCGGAGAGGCAGCCUUAGAAACAGCUACCAUAUCCAAGGAUAGCAGCAGGCGCGAAAAUUACUCAAUUCUAACUCAGAGAAGUAGUGAAAAGAAAUAACGAUUCCCCACAUUUGUGGGGAAGUACUCUUCGGAGUUUGAAAUGGUCGCACCUUAAAUAAGUGCGAGAGUAUCAAGUGGAGGGCAAGUUUGGUGCCAGCAGCCGCGGUAAUUCCUACUCCACAAGCAUACACUAAUGUUGCUGUAGUUAAAACGUCCGUAGUCCAUGUAAGUGCCUCGUCACGGGAUUCGGGUAGCCACAACUGCGGUCGCCGGGCGUUCUGCCCAGCGGUCCGUAGGGCUGGGCGCAAGUCCAGCCGCGUGGCUGCUCCUCUGGCGCGCAUGUGCUGUGCUUCGUGCAUGGCACGCGUGAGUCUCGCGACGGGGUGCGCUUCACAACUGUGAGUAAAUCAGCGUGCUCAAAGCAGGCUAUGGGCGGUCUUCGGGCCGUCCGGUGCUUGAAUGCUCUAGCAUGGGACUGUACCAUAAUUGACCCGGUCCUGCGGGGCCGGGUCAGCACUGUGGAAAAGGGAACAGACGGAGGACGCAAGUAUUUUGGCACUAGGGGUGAAAUCCGAAUAAUGCCAAAAGACUAACAGACGCGAAAGCGGUGUUGUCCACGGCCUUCUCGUUGAUCAAGGACGAGAGUCAGGGGAUCGAAGAUGAUUAGAUACCGUCGUAGUCCUGACCGUAAACGAUACUACCGAGAGCUUGGGGACAUGAUACCAUUUUACUGAUCUCCUCAGGAUCCAAGGGAAACCGGGAGGUUUCGAGUUCUGGGGGAAGUAUGGUCGCAAGGCUGAAACUUAAAGGAAUUGACGGAAAGGCACCACCAGGUGUGGAUGCUGCGGCUUAAUUCGACCCAACACGGGGAAACUCACGAAGGUAGGAUGUAGAGAGGAUUGACAAGCUAAAGACUUUUCUUGAUUCUACAAGUGUUGUGCAUGGCCGUUCUUAGUUCGUGGAUUAAUCUGUCUGGUUAAUUCCGAUAACGAGCGAGACCUCAACUUGCUAAUUAGGAGGGCGAUUCUCGAAUCGUCUUUCGGCCUUCCGGCCAUCCUUCUUAGCAGGACUGUCGGCUCUCAAGCCGAAGGAAGUUUGAGGCAAUAACAGGUCUGUGAUGCCCUUAGAUAUUUUCGGCAGCACGCGUCAUACAAUGUUGAUAGAAACGAGUUGACGGUUGUUAUCGCAACCGGCUGGUCUGAAGAGAUCGGCUAAACUUCAAAAUAUCAACAUGACAGGGAUUGGCACUUGGAAGUUUGCCAUGAACGAGGAAUACCUCGUAAUCGCAAGUCAUCAUCUUGCAAUGAUUACGUCCCUGCCUUUUGUACACACCGCCCGUCGCUCCUACCAAUUGGAGAAAGAAGUGAAGUGGAUGGAUGAAUUGCUUCGGCGAUUUGCAGAAAUCCCCUGAACUUCUUUCUCUGUAGGAAGGAGAAGUCGUAACAAGGUC